This 755-nucleotide ribosomal RNA is filed under the name uncultured bacterium. Its description in RNAcentral is "bacterial SSU rRNA". It matches the Rfam family "Bacterial small subunit ribosomal RNA", at positions 748 to 1504 of the family's 1533-position model. The record is from RNAcentral.
UGAGUGCGAAAGCGUGGGGAGCAAACGGGAUUAGAUACCCCGGUAGUCCACGCCGUAAACGAUGUCUACUAGCCGUUGGAGGACUUGAUCCUUUAGUGGCGCAGCUAACGCGAUAAGUAGACCGCCUGGGGAGUACGGUCGCAAGAUUAAAACUCAAAUGAAUUGACGGGGGCCCGCACAAACGGUGGAGCAUGUGGUUUAAUUCGAAGCAACGCGAAGAACCUUACCUACUCUUGACAUCCAGUGAACUUUUGAGAGAUCAAUUGGUGCCUUCGGGAACACUGAGACAGGUGCUGCAUGGCUGUCGUCAGCUCGUGUUGUGAAAUGUUGGGUUAAGUCCCGUAACGAGCGCAACCCUUGUCCUUAGUUACCAUCAUUAAGUUGGGGACUCUAAGGAGACUGCCGGUGACAAACCGGAGGAAGGCGGGGACGACGUCAAGUCAUCAUGGCCCUUACGAGUAGGGCUACACACGUGCUACAAUGGCAUGUACAAAGGGUUGCCAAGCCGCGAGGUGGAGCUAAUCCCAUAAAGCAUGUCGUAGUCCGGAUUGGAGUCUGCAACUCGACUCCAUGAAGUCGGAAUCGCUAGUAAUCGUGAAUCAGAAUGUCACGGUGAAUACGUUCCCGGGCCUUGUACACACCGCCCGUUACACCAUGGGAGUGGGUUGCUCCAGAAGUAGAUAGCUUAACCUUCGGGAGGGCGUUUACCACGGAGUGAUUCAUGACUGGGGUGAAGUCAUAACAAGGUAACCGUA